RNAcentral lists this ribosomal RNA (245 nucleotides) under uncultured bacterium. RNAcentral describes it as "partial 16S ribosomal RNA". It matches the Rfam family "Bacterial small subunit ribosomal RNA", at positions 15 to 257 of the family's 1533-position model. The record is from RNAcentral.
GAUCUGGCUCAGGAUGAACGCUAGCGGCAGGCCUAACACAUGCAAGUCGAGGGGCAUCACGAGGUAGCAAUACUUUGGUGGCGACCGGCGCACGGGUGCGUAACGCGUAUGUAACCUACCUAUAACAGGGGCAUAACACUGAGAAAUUGGUACUAAUUCCCCAUAAUAUUCGGAGAGGCAUCUCUCCGGGUUGAAAACUCCGGUGGUUAUAGAUGGACAUGCGUUGUAUUAGCUAGUUGGUGAGG